UUGAUGCCUGUGAUGGUGUAAAAUAUACUUUGAGAGAUUAAUCUCUAGGAAAAAUAAAUCCAGUCUGGCAUUUU
Brassica napus (rape) is the source of this 74-nucleotide non-coding RNA. Lineage: Eukaryota; Viridiplantae; Streptophyta; Magnoliopsida; Brassicales; Brassicaceae. The record is from Rfam.